This is a small nuclear RNA of Vigna angularis (adzuki bean), 193 nucleotides long. It matches the Rfam family "U2 spliceosomal RNA". From Rfam's summary of the family: U2 is a small nuclear RNA (snRNA) component of the spliceosome (involved in pre-mRNA splicing). The record is from Rfam. NCBI's taxonomy places the organism in Eukaryota, Viridiplantae, Streptophyta, Magnoliopsida, Fabales, Fabaceae.
AUACCUUUCUCGGCCUUUUGGUUAAGAUCAAGUGUAGUAUCUGUUCUUAUCAGUUUAAUAUCUGAUAUGUGGACUAUUAGUUCACACGAUAUUAAAUUAAUUUUUUGAGGGAGAGAAACAUCAAGGAGCUUGCUGCUUGGUUUCUUAAGCAUCGUCCUUGUUUUACACUCUUGCAAGGCCUGGUGCAUCCCAC